This 508-nucleotide ribosomal RNA is filed under the name uncultured bacterium. RNAcentral's name for it is "partial 16S ribosomal RNA". It matches the Rfam family "Bacterial small subunit ribosomal RNA", at positions 28 to 523 of the family's 1533-position model. The record is from RNAcentral.
GAUGAACGCUAGCUACAGGCUUAACACAUGCAAGUCGAGGGGAAACGAUAUUGGAAGCUUGCUUCCGAUAGGCGUCGACCGGCGCACGGGUGAGUAACGCGUAUCCAACCUGCCCACCACUUGGGGAUAACCUUGCGAAAGUAAGACUAAUACCCAAUGAUAUCUCAAGAAGACAUCUGAAUGAGAUUAAAGAUUUAUCGGUGAUGGAUGGGGAUGCGUCUGAUUAGCUUGUUGGCGGGGUAACGGCCCACCAAGGCUACGAUCAGUAGGGGUUCUGAGAGGAAGGUCCCCCACAUUGGAACUGAGACACGGUCCAAACUCCUACGGGAGGCAGCAGUGAGGAAUAUUGGUCAAUGGGCGAGAGCCUGAACCAGCCAAGUAGCGUGCAGGAUGACGGCCCUAUGGGUUGUAAACUGCUUUUAUAAGGGAAUAAAGUGAGCCUCGUGAGGCUUUUUGCAUGUACCUUAUGAAUAAGGACCGGCUAAUUCCGUGCCAGCAGCCGCCGCCG